GUAUAGUUCGGUCUAACCUUUAAUCCCGGCACAAUACCGCGCUCGAAAUGCGGCGUGGGGGUAACUCCACCGUGGGUUCGAAUCCCACCCUCCCCGCCA
RNAcentral lists this transfer RNA (99 nucleotides) under Brucella anthropi. RNAcentral describes it as "Ochrobactrum anthropi tRNA-OTHER". The record is from RNAcentral. Lineage: Bacteria; Pseudomonadati; Pseudomonadota; Alphaproteobacteria; Hyphomicrobiales; Brucellaceae.